CACGUAGGGUCCAAGCGUUGUCCGGAUUUAUUGGGCGUAAAGCGCUCGUAGGCGGCUCGGCAAGUCAGGUGUGAAACCUCCAGGCUCAACCUGGAGACGCCACCUGAUACUGCUGUGGCUAGAGUCCGGUAGGGGAGCGUGGAAUUCCUGGUGUAGCGGUGAAAUGCGCAGAUAUCAGGAGGAACACCAGCGGCGAAGGCGGCGCUCUGGGCCGGAACUGACGCUGAGGAGCGAAAGCGUGGGUAGCAAACAGG
This 254-nucleotide ribosomal RNA is filed under the name uncultured bacterium. RNAcentral's name for it is "partial 16S ribosomal RNA". It matches the Rfam family "Bacterial small subunit ribosomal RNA", at positions 524 to 776 of the family's 1533-position model. The record is from RNAcentral.